CCUACGGGGGGCAGCAGUGGGGAAUAUUGGGCAAUGGGCGCAAGCCUGACCCAGCAACGCCGCGUGAAGGAAGAAGGCCCUCGGGUUGUAAACUUCUUUUGUCAGGGACGAAACAAAUGACGGUACCUGACGAAUAAGCCACGGCUAACUACGUGCCAGCAGCCGCUGCAAUACGGAGGUGGCAAGCGUUAUGCGGAUUUACGGGGUGUAAAGGGCGUGUAGGCGGGAGAGCAAGUCAGAUGUGAAAUUCCAGGGCUCAACCCUGGAACUGCAUUUGAAACUGUUUUUCUUGAGUGAUGGAGAGGCAGGCGGAAUGCCGGGUGUAGCGGUGAAAUGCGUAGAUAUACGGAGGAACACCAGUGGCGAAGGCAGCCUGCUGGACAUUAACUGACGCUGAGGCGCGAAAGCGUGGGGAGCAAACAGGAUUAGAUACCCUUGUAGUC
This 443-nucleotide ribosomal RNA is filed under the name uncultured bacterium. Its description in RNAcentral is "partial 16S ribosomal RNA". It matches the Rfam family "Bacterial small subunit ribosomal RNA", at positions 338 to 795 of the family's 1533-position model. The record is from RNAcentral.